AUCCAGCUGAUGAGUCCCAAAUAGAACGAAGUGGCGAGCGUUCUGGAU
RNAcentral lists this non-coding RNA (48 nucleotides) under Schistosoma mansoni. The record is from RNAcentral. Lineage: Eukaryota; Metazoa; Platyhelminthes; Trematoda; Strigeidida; Schistosomatidae.